Molecule: long non-coding RNA, 762 nt
Organism: Eleginops maclovinus (Patagonian blennie)
Lineage: Eukaryota; Metazoa; Chordata; Actinopteri; Perciformes; Eleginopidae
Exons: 3
Source: RefSeq, a predicted model, not a curated record
UGCCCAUCAGCUCAAUCUUAUCAUGCAACAGGCUACCUCCCACGUAGUCAAAGUCAAAAACUUUUUUUCCGACCUGGGUGGAUUUUCUGCGUUUUUUUCAAGAUCCCCCAAGCGGACCAGUGUGCUUGAUGAGGUAGUGGCCCAUAGACUACCAACAGCCAGCACUGUGAGAUGGAACUUUCACAGCCGUGCCGUCAAUACUGUGUUUGAGCAAAGAGAACACCUCGUUGAAUGCUUUGAAAGAAUUCGAGCAUCAGGUGGCUUUGAUGACAAGACCAGCCAAGAAGCAGGAGGCUACAUCAGGCUACUGGAGGAUCCUCAGUUCAACUUCUUCCUGCAACUGUUUCAUAAAAUAAUGCCACACGUGGACGUCCUCUAUGCCAAGCUCCAGAAGAGAGACAUAGAUUCAGUCCAUAUAGAAAGAUGCAUCCAGCAGUUCCAAGAGGACAUACAAAAAAUCAGAGAUUCUCUCCAUGCAAUGGUGGUGGAGCAAAGCAGUGGCUCUCAGCAGCCGAGGAAGCGCCGGGCUGUGUCGGAAGAUGAGCUUAGAAGGAUUGCUGCUGAGGUAUGUGACACCAUACUUGGACACACCAAGGAACGCUUUACCUUCAAAGACCACCUCAUCAGUGCCACCUUACUGCAGGGCAACCAGUUUGAAUGCUACCUCAAGGUAUUCCCUGAAGUUGCUUUGGCCACCACAUUGAAGGCCUAUCCAAUUCUGGAUGGAGGCAAGCUGAAGACAGAGCAUGGCCUCAUCUAUGG